AAAAAGAGAAACUCUAAGUUUCCAUUUCCACCGUUUGACUGUCCAUCUUAUAAGAAUUUUUUUUUAUAGUUAGUAUUUUCAUUGUUGUUUACUUUAUGCGUGACUUAUCUUUUUAAUUUUUUUAUAUUUUUUUUAAAUAAGACAAAUGGUCAAACGUUGAACAUUGAAACAUAGUGUUUAUCUUUUU
Molecule: microRNA precursor, 187 nt
Filed under: Oryza nivara
Lineage: Eukaryota; Viridiplantae; Streptophyta; Magnoliopsida; Poales; Poaceae
Description: MIR812 microRNA precursor family
Rfam family: MIR812 microRNA precursor family
Source: Rfam by way of RNAcentral